UGGGGAAUCUUCCGCAAUGGACGAAAGUCUGACGGAGCAACGCCGCGUGAGUGAUGACGGCCUUCGGGUUGUAAAGCUCUGUUAAUCGGGACGAAUGGUUCUUGUGCAAAUAGUGCGAGGAUUUGACGGUACCGGAAUAGAAAGCCACGGCUAACUACGUGCCAGCAGCCGCGGUAAUACGUAGGUGGCAAGCGUUGUCCGGAAUUAUUGGGCGUAAAGCGCGCGCAGGCGGAUUGGUCAGUCUGUCUUAAAAGUUCGGGGCUUAACCCGUGAUGGGAUGGAAACUGCCAAUCUAGAGUAUCGGAGAGGAAAGUGGAAUUCCUAGUGUAGCGGUGAAAUGCGUAGAUAUUAGGAAGAACACCAGUGGCGAAGGCGACUUUCUGGACGAAAACUGACGCUGAGGCGCGAAAGCCAGGGGAGCGAACGGG
This 428-nucleotide ribosomal RNA is filed under the name bacterium. Its description in RNAcentral is "partial 16S ribosomal RNA". It matches the Rfam family "Bacterial small subunit ribosomal RNA", at positions 355 to 776 of the family's 1533-position model. The record is from RNAcentral.